UGAGACCUGAUGCCGAGCCGAUUGUGGUGAAGUGGAUGAUCCUAUGCUGUCGAGAAAAGCCUCUAGCGAGUUUCAUGGCGGCCCGUACCCUAAACCGACUCAGGUGGUCAGGUAGAGAAUACCGAGGCGUUCGGGUGAACUAUGGUUAAGGAACUCGGCAAAAUGCCCCCGUAACUUCGGGAGAAGGGGGGCCAUUCCUGGUGAUGGGCUUUGCGCUCUGAGCUGGGGGUGGCCGCAGAGACCAGCGAGAAGCGACUGUUUACUAAAAACACAGGUCCGUGCGAAGCCGUAAGGCGAUGUAUACGGACUGACGCCUGCCCGGUGCUGGAACGUUAAGGGGACCGGUUAGCUCACCUUCGGGUGGGCGAAGCUGAGAACUUAAGCGCCAGUAAACGGCGGUGGUAACUAUAACCAUCCUAAGGUAGCGAAAUUCCUUGUCGGGUAAGUUCCGACCUGCACGAAUGGCGUAACGACUUCUCGACUGUCUCAACCAUAGGCCCGGUGAAAUUGCACUACGAGUAAAGAUGCUCGUUUCGCGCAGCAGGACGGAAAGACCCCGGGACCUUUACUACAGUUUGAUAUUGGUGUUCGGUUCGGCUUGUGUAGGAUAGCUGGGAGACUGUGAAGCUCGGACGCCAGUUCGGGUGGAGUCGUCGUUGAAAUACCAGUCUGGUCGUGCUGGAUGUCUAACCUGGGUCCGUGAUCCGGAUCAGGGACAGUGUCUGAUGGGUAGUUUAACUGGGGCGGUUGCCUCCUAAAGAGUAACGGAGGCGCCCAAAGGUUCCCUCAGCCUGGUUGGCAAUCAGGUGUUGAGUGUAAGUGCACAAGGGAGCUUGACUGUGAGACCGACGGGUCGAGCAGGGACGAAAGUCGGGACUAGUGAUCCGGCGGUGGCUUGUGGAAGCGCCGUCGCUCAACGGAUAAAAGGUACCCCGGGGAUAACAGGCUGAUCUUCCCCAAGAGUCCAUAUCGACGGGAUGGUUUGGCACCUCGAUGUCGGCUCGUCGCAUCCUGGGGCUGGAGUCGGUCCCAAGGGUUGGGCUGUUCGCCCAUUAAAGCGGUACGCGAGCUGGGUUUAGAACGUCGUGAGACAGUUCGGUCCCUAUCCGCUGUGCGCGUAGGAGUCUUGAGAAGGGCUGUCCCUAGUACGAGAGGACCGGGACGGACGAACCUCUGGUGUGCCAGUUGUUCUGCCAAGGGCAUGGCUGGUUGGCUACGUUCGGGAGGGAUAACCGCUGAAAGCAUCUAAGCGGGAAGCCUGCUUCGAGAUGAGGACUCCCACCUCCUAGAGAGGGUAAGGCUCCCAGUAGACGACUGGGUUGAUAGGCCGGAUAUGGAAGCACGGUAACGUGUGGAGUUGACCGGUACUAAUAGGCCGAGGGCUUGUCCUCAGUUG
RNAcentral lists this ribosomal RNA (1396 nucleotides) under Streptomyces sp. XHT-2. RNAcentral's name for it is "partial 23S ribosomal RNA". It matches the Rfam family "Bacterial large subunit ribosomal RNA", at positions 1557 to 2925 of the family's 2925-position model. Lineage: Bacteria; Bacillati; Actinomycetota; Actinomycetes; Kitasatosporales; Streptomycetaceae. The record is from RNAcentral.